AUGAGAAUUGAUGUUGUAGGACAGCUCCCUUCUAAGAUACGGUAACGAGAGGAGCAUCAUAAGGGUUGGGUGUCACCAUGUAUGUCAGAUUCCACGUGACUACAUACGCCCGUAAUGAAAAGUACCUAUGGCAUCAAGCAUUCGACAAGUGACCUUCGUUUUCCUGCUCUGCAUGUCUGUCAUGGUUUUCACUUUUGUUUACCUUACAAAGGAGCCCGUCCUGAAGAAUUUCAUGAUUCAAAAACAGUCAUAUCAAUAUCAAUCAUUUUUAGGAAAUAGUAUUACACCGUGUUUUAGGAGCAGCCUCCUAUCUGGACACAGCGAUUCAACUUCAAUAGUCACAGAAAUUAAAGAGAAAAGACAGAAUACUGGAAAAGACGGACCUGAAAGAAUUGAUCAAAUUCAUCUUAGAAAAUCGGGAAAAGGUAAUGAUAAAACGGUUUCAAAGGAAACCGUCGUCAGCAAUCCUAGGUAUGUCAUUGGUAAGGAAGAUCAACACUUUCAAGAAAAGCUUACUUCAUCCCCAGGUACACGGAUGACGAAUCAUUUCGGACAAGAAACAGAUACCAAUCGAUUUCUUUUUCCUAAAUAUCUAGGAAGAUUGGGCAAUAUCAUGUUUAUAUACGCAUCAUGUUAUAGUCUUGCUCUCGACAACAAUCUAAGUCUCUUUUUAUCAAAAACCGACAAAAUAUACCAACCAUUUGCCAAUAUACCGGUCGCCACAUCACCUAAUGUAACACUUUGUAGGAGGGAAAUAGUAUCCUUUAACCAAACACGGCCAAGAUAUUUUGAACAGUUUCGCUUAUCUGAAGCAAACGCGUCGUGUUUGCGAAUAGAAGGUUUUCUUCAGUCAUGGAAGUAUUUUAAAGAUCAUUUCGACGAUAUCAGAUAUCAAUUCACCUGGAGAACGUCCAUUAGAGAAAAGGCUAUACAUAAAAUAGAAAGACUAAAAAAUGCAAACAUGGCCUAAUUUACCUUCCUCUAAAAUUACAACUGUAGGUAUCCACGUCCGUCGGGGUGAUUACGUCACGGAAAAACGACCGAUGGCGGAUCGUGAAUACUUUGAAUAUGCAAAGAGAUAUUUUCUGAAGACAUUUUCAAAAGUUCUUUUUAUUGUAACAACAUCGCCCAACGAAAGAGACCGGAUGUGGUGCAUAAACAACAUACAAAACGGAAGUGGCGUUACAGUAUUAUCAAGUUCCAAAGAUUCAUUUGUUGACAUGGCUUUGCUUUCAUUGACGGAUCACGUGAUCAUUUCGACUGGUACGUUUGGCUGGUGGGCGGGGUUUUUGAACAAAGGGCACGUAUUUUAUUUUGAUUGGAUCCCAUUGAAUCACAGUCGUUUUAACCGAAAAGAUUACAUUUUACCCCACUGGAUUGGAAUAAAAGCUAUAAACAUUGAUGAAAACAAUACGACUGUUUACCGAACUGUUACGUCAUAAUGAGGCGAUUGAGUAAAUGCAUUUUUCAAGGGGUUUAGUACAUUUAAGCAUUGAACUGUUACCAAAUGGUAGUAUACAGUCGAUAUGAAUACAAUUUGGGUGACAGAUAAAUAGAAUGUCGCCCUUUAGCGCAGAUUAGAAUCCUUCAAACACUUUUUUGACUCGGAAUAAUAUUACAAUCUAGUAGAGAAAACAGAUAUCCGGAAAUCUUUUUAUAUAUAUUACUGGUAAAAUAUAAUUAGUAUUGAAGAAAAUAAUAACAAACAUAAUGAUGUGUAAGUGUGUUUUUGAUAGUGUAUGGCGAAUGAGUCUCCUCCUGCGUGUGGACAAUUUUUUUGUAAAAUGUUGUCUUUUUUUGAAAAAAAAAUUUUGAACCUAAAAAAAAAAAAAAAUAAUUGACAAAAUGCAAGCAAGAAUGUGCUCCGAAGUUUAAGUCAUCAUUCUAUCAUUGAUGUGAGACGACAAUGGAUGUCAUAGUCACAACAAUACCCUAACGAGAACAUGGUGAGGCAUAAGCCAUACAUGUAUGAAAAGAUAAUAAAAUGUUUUUGUUAAAAAAAAAAAAAAAAAAAAAACGAUUUCAAAGAUAUUUCGUUCGAAACAGAUUCAAGUCUAACCAGUCGCAUCUUAGCAGACGAUUUUCAACUUCACAGGGGGCUUGAUUUUGUAAGGUAGGCCUUUAACAUCAGUGAAUAACCACAAAACUAAAAUCCAAUAUACAUACACAACCGGAAAACAUGUCGAUGCUCCCGAUUUUUCACAAGAUUUUUAUUUUAUUAUUUUUUAUAAAUACUAGACUUUUAAUGUUAUCGUGUCUUACAUUUCUGAAAAUUCGGAAACGAGCCCCUGUGAGUGUGACGACAUUGGCAAUUUGAUAAUUCUUAGAUCAAGAACGGCGCUUAUAGUUAUUUUGUGUUGACUACAUUUUGUUUUAAUUAUACAAUAUUACUCUCAUAACUUGUGAAGUUGCUUAUUUUUUGUGUUGUGGAUAAUAAAUGCUAGCAUUCGAAAUCUCUCCAGGCCGAAAGUAACUGGCGGCCAUUGUUUUGACCAGCAACACCUGGGGCUGUAUUCCUACUCUGACCGAAUCACUGUAAAUUGUAGUAUACAGUAUCAUGAAUACAAUUUUGUUUACUAACGAUAUAUAGGCAAAUGCAACACAGAAUGUAAAUAUAGCUACAUAGCCUGUGAUUAAACGUUUCUGAAUAUCUUUAUUUGCGAAAGUCUACCUCGCAAGAUCUGACGUCUGGCGAUAAUAAAAACGUAUCGGUACCAUUAAA
This is a long non-coding RNA of Pecten maximus, 2722 nucleotides long. RefSeq lists it as uncharacterized. NCBI's taxonomy places the organism in Eukaryota, Metazoa, Mollusca, Bivalvia, Pectinida, Pectinidae. The transcript has 2 exons. The record is from RefSeq and is a predicted model, not a curated record.